Molecule: transfer RNA, 72 nt
Filed under: Bos taurus (domestic cattle)
Lineage: Eukaryota; Metazoa; Chordata; Mammalia; Artiodactyla; Bovidae
Also listed under: 4 other names
Rfam family: tRNA
About the family: Transfer RNA (tRNA) molecules are approximately 80 nucleotides in length. Their secondary structure includes four short double-helical elements and three loops (D, anti-codon, and T loops). Further hydrogen bonds mediate the characteristic L-shaped molecular structure. tRNAs have two regions of fundamental functional importance: the anti-codon, which is responsible for specific mRNA codon recognition, and the 3' end, to which the tRNAs corresponding amino acid is attached (by aminoacyl-tRNA synthetases). tRNAs cope with the degeneracy of the genetic code in two manners: having more than one tRNA (with a specific anti-codon) for a particular amino acid; and 'wobble' base-pairing, i.e. permitting non-standard base-pairing at the 3rd anti-codon position.
Source: Rfam by way of RNAcentral
UCCUUGGUGGUCUAGUGGUUAGAAUUCGGUGCUUUCACUGCCAUGGCCCUGGUUCAGUUCCUGGUCAGGGAA